RNAcentral lists this long non-coding RNA (2675 nucleotides) under Helianthus annuus (common sunflower). RNAcentral describes it as "hypothetical non coding rna". The record is from RNAcentral. Lineage: Eukaryota; Viridiplantae; Streptophyta; Magnoliopsida; Asterales; Asteraceae.
UUUUGAGUUAGUUUUUAUUCAGUAUACUAUUGCUAAACUCUAUCUUUUGAUUUCCUUUAAAACUAACCAACCGAAGCUUUUGGGAUAGCAUCUUAUGAUAAGGAUCUUCAUUGUUUUGUUUUUCUAACACCAUUCAAACCUCCAGCGAAUCUCUCACAUCGCUUUUACCUUGCUCCUGCAUAUAGACGUUCUUCAAGUCGCCUCAUUGAACGGAUGUAUUUGUUUGCUUCUUUUUGCACUUGUGUGACCACAAUUACUUCUGUCAAUUUCCAACCACUUCUGAGCGACCAAGGUUAUUGAUGGUUUGAUGACGACUUGGUUUUGGGUUUUGGAUUUGCUUGCUUAAUCCAAGGUAAUUUGGGAAACGCGGGGAAUAAGUGAAGAGUGUCGUGAAGAUAAAGAUUUAUUGUAUUUCGGUAAUGUAAAGAAAAUAUAAUUAGGUUCUUUUCGUUUUUAAACUUUAGAAUUAGUUUUUGAAUUUGAUAUCUGUAAUAGUGACACGUUAGCCUAUUACAGGUUGGGGUGUUACAAUUAUGGUAUCAGAGCGAAGGCUCUUUCCUGUAGAAAACUUAAACCUUAAAAAGUAAACAUGUGAGUUAAUGGGUAGACGUUGGGUUAGGAUUCUGAAUUUCGAACGAUUUUCGUACUCUCUAUUUUGUGACCCUUGAUAUGCCUAUUCGCAACUUUUGUCAUUUUUUUCUUUGCUAGUGUCAUAUUUUGCAUCUCAACUGUAGGAGUUAAAUUAUUAUUAUCAUUACGGCUUUAUUCAGGAUUUCAUGAAAAGACUCGGAACACGGUGGAUGACAUGAUCUAAGUAAGUAUGACCUCGAACGAACUUGACUACGUGCCACAAAAUCCUUGCUACCAUUCGUGUUUCAAGAAGUGUUUCACAUCUGAAUACAACUCACUGAAUUAAUGCAUAUGCUUUAGUUAUCAUCUAUCUAUUUCUUAGAAUCUUUGCUAUUGACCUUGCUUCGUUUAUCAUCACUUCGUUUCCCUUACAUUUGAAUAGGUCAUUGAGAUGCAUGACGGGAUUACCAUUAGGGCACAAUUGUAAGAUAAUUGACAAUUAUGGUCAUGAACGUAAUCGUGAAUUAUAGGUACAUAUGUGCGCUCUUGGAUUCCUAUUAUGUAGAUUUAUGUCAAUUUGAAUGUUUUAUGAUCCAAAGAUUUCAUCGUUCUUAAAAAACAUUGCUCGUUGUUUCAUGUUACACGUCUACAUGCCUAUGAUGAGCAUACCUGAUUUUUGUUUUGCUGCUAACCUCUCUUUAGUUUCAACCAUAUAAUAUUAUUGAUCUUGACAUAUUGAGUAUGUUUCGUGUCUGGAAUUAUGAUGGCCUCUAAAGUCUGUUUGGUACAUGUUAGAUUUGAAUUUGCUAGUAAAUCAUACUUAAUAAUUUCAGUGACAAACUUUUAUUUAGAUAGGUAGAAUUAUAACACCAGAAUAUAUAUGUGUAGGGGAGAGUUCAUUGGGGAACACCAAAAAAGUGGGGAACUGGGGAACAGGGGCAAUUUUGUCAAAAUACUUUCCAAAAUAUAAUGCGUUUAUUAUUAUUAUCAUUUUUUUGAAUGGGAGUCUUUUCCGGUUGCCAUAAGCCGCCACCACCAUCACGAUGAUCCUGAAUAACUGUUAAACCACCGAUUUCCACCAACAGAUUCCGGUGAAGAUCGGCCAAUUUUCAUCUACGUUUAUGAUUUAAACUUGCAAUUCAUCCAAUUUAUCUCCAUUUUGUUUCAAUCCGGAUUACCAACAACAUCAUUCACCCUUUAGAUCUAGGGUUUCAUCGUUCAGAAAUCAAUUCAUCAGAGGCUCAAGGAUGUCAACUGAAAUUGUGAGGUGAGAGGGGUGAUAUCGGAUUUCUUUAACCUAUGUCCUGAUGUAAAGACUCAUACAAAGGCUCCAGCAGAGGCGAUUGAAAAUCUUCUCACACCACUUGGACUGCAGAAAGUAAAGACGGAAAGGAUACAAAGAUUAUCUGAAGGAUAUUUAUGGGAUGACUGGACAUACAUCACUCAACUCCAUGGCGUUGGGAAAUGCCUAUGCAAUAUUUGUUAGAGGGUAGUGGAGGCGCAUAAUACCCGCAGAUCAUAUGCUAGACAGGUACCAGAAAAUUCGCAGACGGUGUUGAGUUCGUGAAAAGCCCCCUAAACUGAUCAGCAAACCAGAAAAGCUGCAGUUAUAAAAGUAAAGCCAAAAAUUUAAAUCAAAAUAUCACAACCAAGUCAUUCAAGAGCUAAAAAUGAUGCAAGUAUUUGGUAUUUGUUUAGGGCCUCUUUAGCAUGAACCAAUAGCAAAUUAGAGUAAGAACAGUUAUAAGGCAUGAAUGCAAUUGCUGCAACAGUUUCACCAGAAAGGUUUGAACCCGGUUGCUCAGUAUUCAUUUUAUAAUCGGUUCGUGGCAUUGUAAUGUCUUAAGUGCGCAGCGCGCUCCCAACAGAAGAAAAUUAAUAGUUAUGUGAAUAUGACCUUUGUGUAUCAAGCCCGUAUAAAUAAUCUGAGAUUUAGCUUAGUAAUUUGAUUGUUUUGUGACAAUAUUCAUUAAGGUUAGGCUGGGUUGAGGUUCUUUUUGCACCUGUGCUAUUGUAAAAGGGUUUUCUUUUUUGACAUUUUCAAGGCCUUGAGUUGUUUGCUUUGUAUCUUGUUCUCCAGUGGUAUUUAAUAAUAUUAGCAUUGC